Pogoniulus pusillus (Red-fronted tinkerbird) is the source of this 526-nucleotide non-coding RNA. The record is from the annotation of a RefSeq genome assembly. Lineage: Eukaryota; Metazoa; Chordata; Aves; Piciformes; Lybiidae.
GGGACUUGUGGGCUGUGGAGUCUCUCCCACACACGCAGCAGCAGCAUCGGUCUCAUCAUGCGCCUCGGCUAUCUCAUCCUCGCUGCCUUCCUGAGGCAGCCGCUGGGCACCAUGGGGCAGGUCACUGUCACCCAGCAAGAAGGACAAGCCACAGUGAAGCAGGGAGACACCUUCCACACCAACUGCACAUACCAGAUCUCUGGCUCUUUUUCUUUGCUGUGGUACCAGCAGAAGAAAGGCCAAGCUCCCCAGCUGCUCUCGUACCACGCAGCAGCUGGCUCCAAGCUCAGCGGCCGUCUGACCACGCUGCUGAGCACCACGGGCAAAUACAGCCUGCUGCAGCUGGAGGAAGUCGAGGUCUCUGACAGUGCCUUGUACCUCUGUGCUGCACCACGGGGCAGGUCACUGUCACCCAGCAAGAAGGACAAGCCACAGUGAAGCAGGGAGACACCUUCCACACCAACUGCACAUACCAGAUUUCUAACUUUCGGGCCUUGCUGUGGUACCAGCAGAAGAAAGGCCAAGC